Molecule: long non-coding RNA, 494 nt
Organism: Malaya genurostris
Lineage: Eukaryota; Metazoa; Arthropoda; Insecta; Diptera; Culicidae
Exons: 3
Source: RefSeq, a predicted model, not a curated record
GGUGAAAAGCAAUCCGCUUUUUGCGUCAGGUAAUUUUAAAUAUCAGAAGAAAGGAACCGAAUGGAGACCAGUCGCGAUAUUUUUCAUAAGAAAUUAAGUUUUCUUCUUUCAAGGAAAGUAGGAGAAAACAACGUAACGAAUGCUUAUCGACUGUCGAAGACUAAUUAGGAAACUGUUUUCGAUUCUUGCUGAACGCGUGCCAAUGAGUCAAAUGUCGAUGUUCUGAAAUCCAAUUUCAAUCCAAAUGUUGUUGUUUCUCUUGCAGUAUCUUCAAACUAACAUGGAAAAAUUGUAUCUAACUUUCUGUACAACAUUUUCAACUAUUAGUAUGACCUCAUCAGGGGUAGCAACUUCACAGCCCAGGCUACCAGACCGACAAGAUAGGAAGUCUCGAUAAAAAUUCAAUUUCCUUCCCCCAUUUGAGUUUCGGUGGGCUUACCGUACAUGAGAAAAAUAAAUCCAGUGCUAGGUGCCAGGAUGAGACAAAAAAAUUG